RNAcentral lists this transfer RNA (72 nucleotides) under Ovis aries (sheep). It matches the Rfam family "tRNA". Rfam says of the family: Transfer RNA (tRNA) molecules are approximately 80 nucleotides in length. Lineage: Eukaryota; Metazoa; Chordata; Mammalia; Artiodactyla; Bovidae. The record is from Rfam by way of RNAcentral.
UCCCUGGUGGCUCAGCUGGUAAAGAACCUGCCUGCAAGGCGGGAGACCUGGGUUCGAUCCCUAGGUUGGGAA